GCUGGGCAUGGUGGCGCAUGCCUGUAAUCCCAGCUACUCGGGAAGCUGAGGCGGGAGAAUUACUUGAACCCAGGAGGCAGAGAUUGCAGUGAGCCAAGAUCGAGCCACUGCACUCCAGCCUGGACGACAGAGAGAGACUCCGUCUCAA
RNAcentral lists this small RNA (148 nucleotides) under Macaca fascicularis (crab-eating macaque). RNAcentral's name for it is "Metazoan signal recognition particle RNA (ENSMFAG00000058437.1)". Lineage: Eukaryota; Metazoa; Chordata; Mammalia; Primates; Cercopithecidae. The record is from Rfam by way of RNAcentral.